GAUGAACGCUGGCGGCGUGCCUAAUACAUGCAAGUCGAGCGAACGGACGAUAAGCUUUCUUCUCUGAUGUUAGCGGCGGACGGGUGAGUAAUACGUGGAUAACCUACCUAUAAGACUGGGAUAACUUCGGGAAACCGGAGCUAAUACCGGAUAAUAUUUUGAACCGCAUGGUUCAAAAGUGAAAGACGGUCUUGCUGUCACUUAUAGAUGGAUCCGCGCUGCAUUAGCUAGUUGGUAAGGUAACGGCUUACCAAGGCAACGAUGCAUAGCCGAACUGAGAGGGUGAUCGGCCACACUGGAACUGAGACACGGUCCAGACUCCUACGGGAGGCAGCAGUAGGGAAUCUUGCGCAAUGGGCGAAAGCCUGACGGAGCAACGCCGCGUGAGUGAUGAAGGUCUUCGGAUCGUAAAACUCUGUUAUUAGGGAAGAACAUAUGUGUAAGUAACUGUGCACAUCUUGACGGUACCUAAUCAGAAAGCCACGGCUAACUACGUG
RNAcentral lists this ribosomal RNA (497 nucleotides) under uncultured bacterium. RNAcentral describes it as "partial 16S ribosomal RNA". It matches the Rfam family "Bacterial small subunit ribosomal RNA", at positions 28 to 507 of the family's 1533-position model. The record is from RNAcentral.